GAAACUUAUGCCAAGAAUUUACUUAACGUGAUUGUGACUAGCAACCUUUACUACUUGUGAAUAUAAGUUCAUAACGAUUAGGUGAAAUUCACUUAUAUUUUAGCAUCAAAUUCAUGCAUGUAAAUUAAGGGUGCACUCUCAACCAACAUACACAAAUCAGUUUUUAUACGAACGGAUAAGUAAAUUGAAUUCACAACUUAUGAAAUCACAACUGAAGGUAAUCAAUUCAUAUUACAAAUAUAAUCAUGACUUUGAAUUAACCUCUAGCCAAAAUCAGUUUAUUUACACAUUAUUACAAAACAGAAAUAAAAGAGAAGUUUGGAAAGAUUAAACCGAAAGAGGAUCUGCUGCGUUCGUGCCCACUUCUCUCUCUCUCCUGCCCGCGUCAGUCUUCCUUGCGUCAGUCUCAGCUGCAAGGGUAGCUUCCCCCGUGCUCACCUCUCUCCAUACUCACCAUGCCGUGCUCACCUUUGGACUCUCCCCGCUUCACUCUUCUGACCGUCCUUGCGAGCUGCCCCUCUGACUUUUCUUCCGCUGCCAAGCUAAAGCUGCCCAAAGGCAGCUUUCCUCCAAGGCUCCUGCCCUCUCGUUUCUCUCACUACCGCUGCCCAAUGGCAGCCCUCGUGUUCUCUGUCCGUGCUCACAGCUGCCAAAUAGCAGCUGUUCCUCUUCAGCCUCCUGUCCGUUUCACUUCUCUCUCUCUGCGUCUCUGCGGGCUGCCCAAAGGGCAGCUCCUUUCUUUUCUCCCCCUUCUACACGCCCCCUUCUGCACGCCCCCCCUUUCCGUGCCUUUCUAUCCCUAUUUUAUUUCUUUUCUAUCCCACCUAACUUCCCUCUAUCCUCCUUUCUUAUUUUUCUUUCUUUCCCCACUCAAACUGCGCUGUCAGUCUCUCCCCGCCAGUGCUGUGCCUCUGUUUCCACCUCUCUCUUAUUUUAUUUCCACUCACGCUGCCAAGGGCAGCUCCCCCUUAUUAUUUUUUUUGCACUACCUCAGUGCUUUCUCUCCACUCGGGUUCCGCGUUCCCUUCUCCUAUCUUUUCCCUAUUUUAUUUUUCUUUCCUGCUGACCAGUCCUCCCCUUCUUUUAGCUGCUGUGUCUUUUCUUUUCUCUAAGCUUAGUUAAACCUGGAAGAUUUAAGUCUUCUAUAUCAACUUCAUUUGAUGAAGCAUAAUGUCCCUGUAUAACCUCCAGUAGCUCUUUAAGACUUUCAGUAUAUAAUCUCACUGACUGCAAACUCUGAAUAAAGAGAUCCUGCAUGCAAAUUUCACACAAACAUGUCGAAAAUGAGUUUUUCAUUAAAUUACUUUUCAGUUUAUGUUUUUGGCUAGAUAGUAAAGACGUUAAUUACUCUAUGUACUUAUUUCCAACUUAUUUUAAUGGAAUACAAUCUUGACGAAGUUAUUACAUAAAAUUUCACUUGUUCUAUUUUUAUUUUCUUUGCAUAACAAAUCCUAUAAACACAAAAAGAAUGUAAAUAGCUCAAAAAUAUAAGGAACUAACUAAGAAAAGACGAGAGAAUUCGAAGUAAAAAUAUAUAUAAAUAUGAUCCGAUCAAAUACCCACACACUUAACUUUUGCUAGUCCUCGAGCAAAAUAAAGAAAACAAGAACAGGAAGUAACAAGAAAAACAUUAGCUUCCCUCUAUGUGACCCUCAUAGAAUUUCAUUUGAGAACACAAAUCAUCAAGAAACAUAGCUAGCACCAAACAAGUUAAUCCAAGUUCAACUUCCUUAUUCAAAUAUUAGCAGUAAUCUUUGAAUCAUCCUUGAAGUGUAGUGUGUGAGAUAGACAUGCUAAUGCAAUUUCAAGUUUUUUUUAUUUUUAAAAUCAUCAUAUGCAAACUAGCGACCUUCUCACGGGAUAUGCACUCAAUCACACAUGUGUUUAGUUUUAAUGUGUUUCGCUCAAAGAAUCAAAUGUGAAAUUUCUACCAUAAGCUUGCAUAAAGAUCACUUCUCCACAGUCAUAAUUGCAAAACUUAAAUCAAGAGGACUUUUAUUGGAUGUAAUGAGGCUUAGGGAUAGGGUUAUUGAAACGAAAGAAUAGGAAAACACAAGUUCCAAGCUACAUUGCAAGCAAUUCUUUUGUUUAGAUUUAUAAGAACUCAAGCUCUCCAACGAUUCUUCUGAUACCUCCAAUCACACCCUUAAACUGAAACUUUAAAAACUUUUUAUUUUCUUUGUAUACAAUCUUUCUUUUUUUUUUUUUUUUUUUUUUUUUAAAUACAAACAUGAAAUACCCCACACUUAUUCUUUUGCCAAACACCUUCAAAGUACUUCACAAACGUUUCUCAUAAGACAAUCUCACAUUGCUCACUAGCUUGCUUGGAAAGGGUAAGGAAAAAUGUUUCAGGUAUAAGGGUAGACAUAUCUGGUGAUAAGAAAUAAAAGGCUAAACAUAUACGGCUCAAAUUGGCAAUCUAAUGAUAUCAUUUUUCUUUGGGAAACAUGGUUAUUUGGGCCAUGGUGGUAAACCUAAUGCCUCUAUCAUUUCCAAGUUCAUGCAAUCAAUGACAAACAUUUCGAAAGAUCGUUACGCAAGUUCUAGAGAUGUAUCUCACAUAAGUUCCUCACACAUGAAAGAAUAGGAGUGUAUGAAAAAUGCACACACUUUCAAUCGGCUCAAAAACUCACAUAGGAUGUAUAUGGUCACUAAAUUCACAUAUGAAGCUUUAAGUCAUACUUUAGUUUCACAUUAACAAGGCUAUGUGCAUUUGGUUUUUCAAAGAUGGUCAAAUAUGUACAAAACUAACAAGAGAAUUAGGAAUUUCAUAAAACACAUGUUAACUAAGUUCUUGAUAAUCGUGAUUCAAAUUUGAUCUAAUUAUAUCAUUGGGUCGGGAAACUAACAAAAAUCUAAUUCAAAACAAUAAGGGAAACAAGACAAUAUUUUUGGAUUUUUAAAUUUUCCGAAAUUUUUUAAAUUUAAAUUUUUUUUUUAAAAGAAAACAAAACUAAUUAAGAACACAAAAAACAACAACACAGUUUUUUUAUUUUUUUUUAAAAGAAAACAAAACUAAUUAAGAACACAAAAAACAACACAGUUUUUUUUAUUUUUUUUUAAAAGAAAACAAAACUAAUUAAGAACACAAAAAAAAACAACACAGAAACAAAUGAAAUUCUGGAGAUUUCUACCCCCCACACUUAAACUUGACAUUGUCCCCAAUGUCAGAAAACACUAUAAUGCAAAUAAAAAUAAAAUAAAUAAAUAAUAAGAAACAAAAUAAAACAAGUGGACUGAAAACUUCUCUAAUUUGCAGUAAAAUCAAGCGAUGACCCCCAAGCUAAAAUUCUGCAAUCAACUUCAAGGGUGGAAAUAACCAAAAGUUCCUGCAAAGAAAAGAAUUAAUUCAGUUAAGUAACACAAGAAAAUAUAUAAAAAUAAAAAUUGCAAACGAAAAAUUGAAAAUCACGAUAAAAGACAAUGAAUAGAACUAAUAAGUGAUCAUUGGUCGUGCUUGUUGACUUUCCACAGCUUUCCUCUUGAACGGGGUGACACUUAGCUUUUUACUUGCAAGUGAUGAUUUGAUGAUAUUGUACGGCGAAGCUUUGCUCUUUGGUGAUGUUGCAGUUCCUUAUUUGUUCUCCAAGCAGAUGUGGCAGCUUCUCUAGUUCCUCAGCUUGGACUCCUUCCGCUGGGAUGAUUGUGCAAGCUGCAUUCUUCUCUGCUUGUUUCUUCUGUACGUUGUCUCCACAUGCUGUUGGUAUCAUUUUCGCUUGCCUUAUCUGUUCUUCAGGUAGAUGUGGCAGCUUCUUUGGAAGUACAUCAGCAGUGGAAGACGAGUACUUGAGAGCAAUUUCUCCAUGUCCUGCAGGUUAGAACAAAGACAAGGAAAAGGACAUGGAGAAUACAUGAUAUGAGAUACUCUUGCUUUCAACCAUUAUGAUAUGAAAUACUUUUGCUCUGGAUGGGUUGUUUGCAGGGGUAUCCCAGGGAAUGAGGAAUACAGUGUAACUUAGGAGGAUUCUUUGAGAAUGCAUUCUCGGAGAUGAAGAAGUGUUGAGAGGGUGUGUCUUUGCUGUGGAAGGCGAAGGUAGAUACUUAUAGGACUUGUCUUCACAACCGGAACUAUUCUCUCACGUAUUGUCGGCAGCCGGUGGAUGAAUAAAUAGUACAAAUUACGCGCUUUCUGACAAAGCUGCCCGUAAUUUUCGCAAAGCUACCGGUUGCAUGUGACGAGUGACGACACGUCUGGACAAAUUGAUCCUUCGAAAUCCGGGGUUCGGCUCGUGGUUUCUGAGCAAGCCCAACUUUUAAGAAAUGAAACGCCUCUUUUGAGAAAAGAAUCCGGCUUUUAAGAAAGGAGCGUCCUCUUUUCAGAAAAGAAUCCGGCUUUUGAGAAAGGAGCCCCGCCUCUUCGAUUUGCGAGAGGUCGCCUCUUCAAUUUCUGAGAAGCGCCUCUUUGAUUUCUGAGGAGCGCUUCUUUGAUUUCUUCCUUUUUAUAGAGGCGUUAUUUUGUUCCACAACACACUUGAGCUCCCUCCUGUAAACACUCCCUUCUUGCACUUCCGAAAUCUUAAUCAGUCCUCCUCUCUUCUUUCUUCACCACCUCUGAAAAUGUAUGGCCCUUCCGAUCGUCGUUUUGACUUGAACCAUGGUGAAGAGGCAGCUCCGCCUUCACCAGACAACAUAUGGCGCCCAUCCUUCAUAUCCCCUACCGGUCCCCUUACCGUGGGGGAUUCGGUGAUGAAAAAUGAUAUGACAGCUGCGGUGGUGGCCCGGAACCUUGUCACCCCCAGAGAUAACAGACUGCUCGCUAGACGGUCUGAUGAAUUGGCGGUUAAGGAGUCUCUGGCUCUUAGCGUGCAGUGUGCUGGUUCUGUGUCCAACAUGGCCCAACGCCUAUAUGCUCGAACCCGUCACGUUGAAUCGUUGGUGGCUGAAAUACAGAGUCUCAAAGAGGAGAUUAAAGGACUCAAGCAUGAAAAUAAACAAUUGCACAAGCUCGCACACAACUAUGCCACCAGCAUGAAGAGGAAGAUUGACCAGAUGCAGGACACCGAUGGUCAAAUUUUACUUGAUCAUCGGAGGUUUGUGGGUUUGUUCCAACAACAUCUGCCUUCGUCUUCUGGAGCGGCACCGCGUAGUGAAGCUCCAAUUGAUCAACAUCUGCCGCCUCCUCCUUCUGUGGCCCCACCGACUGCUGAAGCCCCGCCUACUACUGAAGCACCACCCGACCAAUGAAUACUAUUAGUUUACAUCAUUGUAAAAUAUUUGUACUUUUUUUUUUUUUAAUUUUUUUUUUUUCAUUAAUUUUAAAUUUUAUCUUUUUUUUUUUAUGUAAAUUAAUGUAAAGAGACUUUGGUUAACCUUCCCCCACACUUAAACUAAAUAACACAAACUCACAGAAAUCAACCAAAUAACACAACUAACUAAACAAAACAAAAUGAAAGCAGUAAAGAUAAGGGUGGAAGAAUGCAAAGCUGAUUGGGUUAGUGAUUCCAAAGUCUCCCUUCGUUGAAUGCUUGGGUUGCCUCCCAAGAAGCGCUUGAUUUAACGUCUUUAGCCGGACGCAUCUUUCCUUUAAAUUUCCCUCGGCUCCAUUUGAACCUAAAAUCAAAGAAAGAAAAAUAAAUCAAAUAUCAAAAGUAAAAUACACAAACACCAAUAUAAACAUAAACAAAAACAAAAAUAAAAGGAUUAGCAAAGUUGCUAAUCCCCGGCAACGGCGCCAAAAUUUGAUGUGAGAAUUACUUGACACACAAAUUAAACCCUCUUUUGACAAUUGUAGUAUAGAUGUAAGUAGGGUAUCGUUCUAGGCCGGGGAUUAGGAGGGAUUGCUAAUCUAUUCUAAAUUAAUUUAAAAAUAUUAAACAAGACUCAAGGACACAAAACUAGGCUAAAAACUCUAAUAACUCGAAACACACUUAGAAUGACUCAAAAUAAUGAAAAAAAUCAAAUUAGACACUAGGAACUGAAAUGAACGGAAAUUGAAUUAAUAGACUAACAAUAAAGAAAACUAACUAAAUAAUAUAAUUUAAUAAUGGAUGGGUGUUUGGUUUUGAUGAAAAGUAAAUUAAACUUAAUUAAAUUACAGAAUUGACAAAAAACAUAAAAUUAAGGUAAAAUGAUAAAUGACGGACUAGCUAGAGGGUUCUUCUCCACACAUGACACAUAUGCAACCUAAAUUGAUUUUCAGUUGUUCUUUCAAUAAAUUGUAAAUCUCAACGCCCCAAAUUAACCGUGAAUUGCACUAAUUAACCCUCAGUUUUUCCACAAGUUAUUAGGUUGGAUGAUUGCAUACGACAACCCAAAACAUUCCCUACAAGUUCCCUACAUGAAUUGCAUAAUAGAGAUACAAGCAAGAAUCAUUAAGUUCUAUGAAAAACAUAAGCAUUGACGAGGCACUCGUUACUAUGAUUUGCAUGAAACUUAUGCCAAGAAUUUACUUAACGUGAUUGUGACUAGCAACCUUUACUACUUGUGAAUAUAAGUUCAUAACGAUUAGGUGAAAUUCACUUAUAUUUUAGCAUCAAAUUCAUGCAUGUAAAUUAAGGGUGCACUCUCAACCAACAUACACAAAUCAGUUUUUAUACGAACGGAUAAGUAAAUUGAAUUCACAACUUAUGAAAUCACAACUGAAGGUAAUCAAUUCAUAUUACAAAUAUAAUCAUGACUUUGAAUUAACCUCUAGCCAAAAUCAGUUUAUUUACACAUUAUUACAAAACAGAAAUAAAAGAGAAGUUUGGAAAGAUUAAACCGAAAGAGGAUCUGCUGCGUUCGUGCCCACUUCUCUCUCUCCCUGCCCGCGUCAGUCUUCCUUGCGUCAGUCUCAGCUGCAAGGGUAGCUUCCCCCGUGCUCACCUCUCUCCAUACUCACCAUGCCGUGCUCACCUUUGGACUCUCCCCGCUUCACUCUUCUGACCGUCCUUGCGAGCUGCCCCUCUGACUUUUCUUCCGCUGCCAAGCUAAAGCUGCCCAAAGGCAGCUUUCCUCCAAGGCUCCUGCCCUCUCGUUUCUCUCACUACCGCUGCCCAAUGGCAGCCCUCGUGUUCUCUGUCCGUGCUCACAGCUGCCAAAUAGCAGCUGUUCCUCUUCAGCCUCCUGUCCGUUUCACUUCUCUCUCUCUGCGUCUCUGCGAGCUGCCCAAAGGGCAGCUCCUUUCUUUUCUCCCCCUUCUGCAUGCCCCCUUCUGCACCCCCCCC
This 7145-nucleotide long non-coding RNA is filed under the name Malus domestica (apple). RNAcentral describes it as "long non-coding RNA (MDOM_LNC014905)". The record is from RNAcentral. Lineage: Eukaryota; Viridiplantae; Streptophyta; Magnoliopsida; Rosales; Rosaceae.